UACAGAGGGUGCAAGCGUUGUUCGGAAUUACUGGGCGUAAAGGGCGCGUAGGCGGGAUGGCAAGUCGGUCGUGAAAUCCCUCGGCUCAACCGAGGAACGUCGAUCGAUACUGCUGUUCUUGAGGAUUGCAGAGGAGACUGGAAUUCCCGGUGUAGCGGUGAAAUGUGUAGAGAUCGGGAGGAACACCGGUGGCGAAGGCGGGUCUCUGGGCAAUUCCUGACGCUGAGGCGCGAAAGCGUGGGGAGCAAACGGG
This 253-nucleotide ribosomal RNA is filed under the name uncultured bacterium. Its description in RNAcentral is "partial 16S ribosomal RNA". It matches the Rfam family "Bacterial small subunit ribosomal RNA", at positions 524 to 776 of the family's 1533-position model. The record is from RNAcentral.